CCUACGGGUGGCUGCAGUGGGGAAUAUUGGACAAUGGGCGAAAGCCUGAUCCAGCCAUGCCGCGUGUGUGAAGAAUGCCUUCGGGUUGUAAAGCACUUUCAGUGGGGAAGAAAGCCUUGGGGCUAAUACCCUCGAGGAAGGACAUCACCCACAGAAGAAGCACCGGCUAACUCCGUGCCAGCAGCCGCGGUAAUACGGAGGGUGCGAGCGUUAAUCGGAAUUACUGGGCGUAAAGCGCGCGUAGGCGGUCUGAUAAGCCGGUUGUGAAAGCCCCGGGCUCAACCUGGGAACGGCAUCCGGAACUGUCAGGCUAGAGUGCAGGAGAGGAAGGUAGAAUUCCCGGUGUAGCGGUGAAAUGCGUAGAGAUCGGGAGGAAUACCAGUGGCGAAGGCGGCCUUCUGGACUGACACUGACGCUGAGGUGCGAAAGCGUGGGUAGCAAACAGGAUUAGAUACCCCUGUAGUC
This 465-nucleotide ribosomal RNA is filed under the name Vreelandella stevensii. RNAcentral's name for it is "partial 16S ribosomal RNA". It matches the Rfam family "Bacterial small subunit ribosomal RNA", at positions 338 to 795 of the family's 1533-position model. Lineage: Bacteria; Pseudomonadati; Pseudomonadota; Gammaproteobacteria; Oceanospirillales; Halomonadaceae. The record is from RNAcentral.